AUUCAGCUGACGAGUCUCAAAUAGGACGAAACAUGUGUCUUAGAU
RNAcentral lists this non-coding RNA (45 nucleotides) under Schistosoma mansoni. The record is from RNAcentral. Lineage: Eukaryota; Metazoa; Platyhelminthes; Trematoda; Strigeidida; Schistosomatidae.